Molecule: transfer RNA, 68 nt
Filed under: Ictidomys tridecemlineatus (thirteen-lined ground squirrel)
Lineage: Eukaryota; Metazoa; Chordata; Mammalia; Rodentia; Sciuridae
Description: Spermophilus tridecemlineatus (thirteen-lined ground squirrel) tRNA
Rfam family: tRNA
About the family: Transfer RNA (tRNA) molecules are approximately 80 nucleotides in length. Their secondary structure includes four short double-helical elements and three loops (D, anti-codon, and T loops). Further hydrogen bonds mediate the characteristic L-shaped molecular structure. tRNAs have two regions of fundamental functional importance: the anti-codon, which is responsible for specific mRNA codon recognition, and the 3' end, to which the tRNAs corresponding amino acid is attached (by aminoacyl-tRNA synthetases). tRNAs cope with the degeneracy of the genetic code in two manners: having more than one tRNA (with a specific anti-codon) for a particular amino acid; and 'wobble' base-pairing, i.e. permitting non-standard base-pairing at the 3rd anti-codon position.
Source: Rfam by way of RNAcentral
GGGGCUGUAGCUCAGUGGUAGAGUACUUGCCUUGCAAGUGUGAGGCCUGGGAUUGAUCCUCAGCACCA